GUUCCUUUAGAGGCAGGGUGGAUAAGUAAGUUUCCGCUUGUGAACCAGUUUCCAAAAACUGGUGGCUCCAUUGUGCUCAGAAAGGUUUCCCAGCUCGUUGGGGUCGACGGGAAGGAACACCAUGACCAAUGGGGAGUGUCUGCCUGGUCGCAGGAAAGCACAGAGGGGGUCCCAUGGCAGCUUUUUGCUAUCCGUGUUUUUAAGGUGGAAAUCACUCCGCUGUGCAGUCCAACUAAGAAAGGAAGAAAGUGGCUUUUAACUCAGAUGGCCAGAGCUUGGGGAUGCACUUAGGCAGGUGGCCGUCUGAACUGGAGAAUCAAGAUGGUGUGGCUUCAAAGCAAAGUGCCGCAAGCCCGGGCCGUGGCAGUGUGCAACUGGCAGGGCUCCCAGCUGUCCUGCUUGAACUUUGAGAACAUCCGCGUCGUUCUUUUAAUCUUUGCAAAUAAGCAUGGCGGGCUUUUAUUCAGGUUUUGGGUUUUUUCUCACUUUUAAAGAAUUAGAGUUUUAACUUCCUGUUGGUUGUACAUUUUGGGUUUGGUCGUCCCCCAGGUCGGAACCCAGUUUGCUUAAGACAUAAAACAAAAGGACAGAAGGGAAGGAGAGAGAAAAGCUGAAGAGCCCUUGCUACUCCCAGUGGUCUUUCUGCUGUGCGAGAUACGCAGAGAUUGUCUUUGCAGCCUGCUGGUACGUGGGGCCCAAACGGUGUUUUUAACAUUCUGGCAUUCUGGAAAGACCUCCCGGAAGGACUUCUAGUUCUUGAUCUGAGCAGGAAACCUCAUGUGUGUAUUUAUACUCUUAGUGCCCCCCGGCCCCUGGCUGAUAAGGUGACCUCACGGUGAUGCAGUAGGAGCCCCAGAAGCCGACCCUAAGGGGUGUCAGUGUCGGUGGGAACCCAAACACCAAAGCGGAGUGGAGCCCCUCCUCUAAGGUCCAGGGUCCCACUCCAUGAGUUCAGGGCCCGAGAAGAGGAUGAUGGCUCCCUGCCCUGCUGGGCUUCCACCAGGCCGCCAGGAGUCAAGCCCAGUCACGGCUGGAGCCUCUUCCCUGAAUCUUUAGCAAUUCAGCUUUGGGGGGAUGAUGGGCGGUGCCUGCUGUGCCCAUCACACCUGGAAACUGGAUUUGAAUUUGCCUCUGAGCCAAUGAGCUGCCCCGGACACCGGCUGCCAGAUGCUAAGUUCACCUGGAUUCUUCCAUUUCAACCUCAGAAGCAUCCUGGGUUAGAAAUGAUACUCUUGCCAUUUUCCAGAUGAAGCUCCCACAGCUCGGGGCGACCCUCCGACCCGAGCUGCAUCCCCUGCCCCCCCGGCCGGUCGUGGAUGGCUUGGUCGGGUUCCCGUGAAUGCAGAACUUGAGGCCUUGAGGGCAGGUGGUUUGUCUGGGGAGGUGGUCCCCAGGAAGCCAGAGCCAGACACGGAUGGCGGAAAAGCUGAGGAGAAGCUGCUUUGUCCAUGGCUGAGUAGUAAGUCAC
RNAcentral lists this long non-coding RNA (1468 nucleotides) under Equus caballus (horse). RNAcentral's name for it is "lncRNA (ENSECAG00000049316.1)". The record is from RNAcentral. Lineage: Eukaryota; Metazoa; Chordata; Mammalia; Perissodactyla; Equidae.